Molecule: small nucleolar RNA, 108 nt
Organism: Dioscorea cayenensis subsp. rotundata (Guinea yam)
Lineage: Eukaryota; Viridiplantae; Streptophyta; Magnoliopsida; Dioscoreales; Dioscoreaceae
Source: RefSeq, a predicted model, not a curated record
AUUCCAUGUUGCGGACAUUUUCUCAACAUUUCCUUGUACAUUUCCCAUGUAUCGUACAAGGACUCAGACUCUAAUUGCCAAAAAGGAAGAGAUAUCACUUCUAAGUUU